This is an RNA transcript of Brienomyrus brachyistius, 1207 nucleotides long. It is a transcript of the gene named hypoxanthine phosphoribosyltransferase 1, with no coding region annotated. NCBI's taxonomy places the organism in Eukaryota, Metazoa, Chordata, Actinopteri, Osteoglossiformes, Mormyridae. The transcript is spliced from 9 exons. The record is from RefSeq and is a predicted model, not a curated record.
ACGGGAGUCUCAUAGCAGCGGCACAUCGUCAGUCCGAAGGGAAACUAAAACCGAAACAUGUCCCGGUGGGACGUACAGUCGGCGGCCGUUACCGAGCAGCACACGGUCACCGACAUGGCGACGGGCAGUCCCUGCAUCGUGAUCGGAGACGAAGAGCGGGGCUACGACCUGGACCUCUUCUGCAUCCCCAAGCACUAUGCCAGCGACCUAGAGCGUGUCUAUAUCCCACACGGCCUCAUCCUGGACAGGACUGAGCGCCUGGCACGGGACAUCAUGCGUGACAUGGGGGAGCACCACAUCGUGGCUCUUUGUGUCCUGAAGGGGGGCUACAAGUUCUUUGCCGACUUGCUGGACUACAUCAAGGCCCUGAACCGCAACAGCGACCGCUCUAUCCCCAUGACGGUGGACUUCAUCCGGCUCAAGAGCUACUGCAAUGACCAAUCAACAGGGGAAAUCAAGGUCAUCGGUGGGGACGACCUGUCCACACUCACAGGAAAGAACGUCUUGAUAGUGGAGGACAUCAUCGAUACAGGAAAGACCAUGAAAACCCUGUUGCAGCUCCUCAAACAGUACAAUCCGAAAAUGGUCAAAGUGGUCAGCCUGUUGGUGAAGCGGACAGAGAGGAGCGUGGGCUACCGGCCGGACUGUGAGUACGCGGCACGCCAGACAGCCCUCUGGAGGGACCGUUAUAGGAUUUGAGGUACCCGACAUAUUUGUGGUGGGGUAUGCGUUAGACUACAAUGAGUACUUCAGAGAUUUAAAUCACAUCUGUGUCAUCAGCGAGAAGGGGAAGGAGAAGUACAAGGAGUGAAGCCGUCCUCUUCAGUGGCAUCUCCACCAAACGCCAUCAUUCACAGUUUGCUUUAAUAGAAAAUAAAUUAAACGCCUAAGUAGGACGAUAGCAGGUUCCGCAGAGUACCGGGCAACACACUCACACCGCGACCUGACGGCUGAACUGAAAAUGGCCUGUUUUGUACUUUCCACCCCAUGGCCACCAAAGCCUGGAAUCACCUUGGAGAUGGCAGGAGGCCAGGGGGAGGGGGGGUCUCCUCGUGUAAUAAGCAGGACAGCAGUGCUCCAUGUCUAUCACUGUCACUGGAGUAGAUGGCCCAUGCAGAUGAAUAUGAAUGCAGUAAAUCACAAUGUAAAUCAGUGCCUGAGCCAUGUGAUCAGACACUGAGAUACUGCAAACUUUGCUGUGUAUUUU